Molecule: ribosomal RNA, 497 nt
Filed under: uncultured bacterium
Lineage: Bacteria
Description: partial 16S ribosomal RNA
Rfam family: Bacterial small subunit ribosomal RNA
Source: RNAcentral
GAUGAACGCUGGCGGCGUGCCUAAUACAUGCAAGUCGAGCGAACGGACGAGAAGCUUGCUUCUCUGAUGUUAGCGGCGGACGGGUGAGUAACACGUGGAUAACCUACCUAUAAGACUGGGAUAACUUCGGGAAACCGGAGCUAAUACCGGAUGAUAUUUUGAACCGCAUGGUUCAAUAGUGAAAGACGGUCUUGCUGUCACUUAUAGAUGGAUCCGCGCUGCAUUAGCUAGUUGGUAAGGUAACGGCUUACCAAGGCAACGAUGCAUAGCCGACCUGAGAGGGUGAUCGGCCACACUGGAACUGAGACACGGUCCAGACUCCUACGGGAGGCAGCAGUAGGGAAUCUUCCGCAAUGGGCGAAAGCCUGACGGAGCAACGCCGCGUGAGUGAUGAAGGUCUUCGGAUCGUAAAACUCUGUUAUUAGGGAAGAACAGAUGUGUAAGUAACUGUGCACAUCUUGACGGUACCUAAUCAGAAAGCCACGGCUAACUACGUG